GUUACUAAAAGAAAUGUAUAUUCUAGAAAGUAUAUAUGUCACUUAAUUAUAGACCUACUCAAAUUUGGUUAUAUAAUCUCUCUUUUAAAGUAUAAAUAAAGUGGAAAAGAAAUAAUAAGAUAACCGAGAAUAAACAAAGCUUUUCCUAUUGUCAAAUUGCAUAUAAAAAGGCCGAGCGACAAUAAUUGAUAUACAUUACCUAACAAGCAACAAUGAAUCCGCAAUCAUCUUCUGUCUACUAUUGGUAGCACUGUGUUCCCCCGCGGAACAGUGCGGUAAAAACGAGGUUUUCAACUUGUGUGGUUCUGCAUGCCACCCAAAUGAGCGCAGCUGCAUACUGCC
This is an RNA transcript of Nicrophorus vespilloides, 342 nucleotides long. It is a transcript of the gene named chymotrypsin inhibitor-like, with no coding region annotated. The record is from RefSeq and is a predicted model, not a curated record. The transcript has 2 exons. Lineage: Eukaryota; Metazoa; Arthropoda; Insecta; Coleoptera; Silphidae.